UACGGAUACUGCAAGCGUUAUUCGGAUUCACUGGGCGUAAAGGGUGCGCAGGCGGUCGGGUGUGUCAGGUGUGAAAUCUCGGAGCUCAACUCCGAAACUGCGCCUGAAACUACACGACUAGAGUAUCGGAGAGGUGAGCGGAAUUCAUGGUGUAGCAGUGAAAUGCGUAGAUAUCAUGAAGAACACCAAAAGCGAAGGCGGCUCACUGGACGAUUACUGACGCUCAGGCACGAAAGCAUGGGGAGCAAAAGGG
RNAcentral lists this ribosomal RNA (253 nucleotides) under uncultured bacterium. RNAcentral describes it as "partial 16S ribosomal RNA". It matches the Rfam family "Bacterial small subunit ribosomal RNA", at positions 524 to 776 of the family's 1533-position model. The record is from RNAcentral.